RNAcentral lists this ribosomal RNA (853 nucleotides) under uncultured Streptomyces sp. RNAcentral describes it as "bacterial SSU rRNA". It matches the Rfam family "Bacterial small subunit ribosomal RNA", at positions 8 to 812 of the family's 1533-position model. Lineage: Bacteria; Bacillati; Actinomycetota; Actinomycetes; Kitasatosporales; Streptomycetaceae. The record is from RNAcentral.
AGAGUUUGAUCCUGGCUCAGGACGAACGCUGGCGGCGUGCUUAACACAUGCAAGUCGAACGAUGAAGCCCUUUCGGGGGUGGAUUAGUGGCGAACGGGUGAGUAACACGUGGGUAACCUGCCCUUGGCUUUGGGAUAAGCCCUGGAAACGGGGUCUAAUACCGGAUAUGACCUUCACAGGCAUCUGUGAUGGUGGAAAGUUCCGGCGGCCAGGGAUAGGCCCGCGGCCUAUCAGCUUGUUGGUGGGGUGAUGGCCUACCAAGGCGACGACGGGUAGCCGGCCUGAGAGGGCGACCGGCCACACUGGGACUGAGACACGGCCCAGACUCCUACGGGAGGCAGCAGUGGGGAAUAUUGCACAAUGGGCGAAAGCCUGAUGCAGCGACGCCGCGUGAGGGAUGACGGCCUUCGGGUUGUAAACCUCUUUCGACAGGGACGAAGCGAGAGUGACGGUACCUGUAGAAGAAGCACCGGCUAAACCUACGUGCCAGCAGCCGCGGUAAUACGUAGGGGUGCGAGCCGGUUGGUCCGGAAUUAUUGGGCGUAAAGAGCCUUCGUUAGGGCGGGUUUGUCGCGUUCGACUGUGAAAAACCCUGGGGGNCCUAACCUCCUGGGGCCCUGCCAGUUUCGAAUUACCGGGCCAAGAACCUUGAAGUUUUCGGGUAGGGGGCGAGAAACCUGGAACUUUCCCCUGGGUUGUUAAGCGGGUGAAAAAUGCCGCCGAAUUUCCANGGANGGAACCACCCGGUGGCGAAGGGCGGGUUCCUUUGGGCCGAUACUGACGCUGAGGAACCGAAAGCUUGGGGAGCGACCAGGAAUUGAAUACCCUGGUAGUNCAUCGCUGUUAACCGUUC